Ribosomal RNA from Penicillium italicum, 120 nucleotides. NCBI's taxonomy places the organism in Eukaryota, Fungi, Ascomycota, Eurotiomycetes, Eurotiales, Aspergillaceae. The record is from Rfam.
ACAUACGACCAUAGGGUGUGGAAAACAGGGCUUCCCGUCCGCUCAGCCGUACUUAAGCCACACGCUGGUGAGUUAGUAGUUGGGUGGGUGACCACCAGCGAAUCCUCACUGUUGUAUGUU